GGGAUCUGCCAAACUAAAGAACGAGAAGGGAUCUACCGAAAAAAAGAACAAAAAACCCUUGUCCCUAGAUCUCACGAUCUCUGUUCGUUUCUCCACUAUCAACGGCCUUUCUCGACGAUGACCGUUCAACUGAAAAGCGGAGCGAAAAAUCCUUCCCUCUCUCAACGGCCAUUCAACCGAUGACGAUGACGUCUCUCCCGAACUGAUUUAAUGGAAAUGUGACAAGAAGUAUGUUGUGAAAGUAGAAACCAGUCAUCAAGAAGUAAUGGCAUAGUAAGGCAGCCGCGGAUGAUGAAGCUUUAAGACAAGAAGUUUCGAAUCCAUCUACUCCUAAAAUUGAGUUAGAAGAUGCAGCUGUGAAGAAUAGUUUUCCAGGCUCCCGGUUAGAAUUGAGCAAUGAUAGGGACAGAGUUGUAGAGGCAAGAGAUGAGUUGCAUAGGAUGUUGAAUGAGGCCACAGCAGUAAUGGACUGACCGGAAAUUUCAUGGGAUGAUAUUACAUAUAAAGGAGCAUGUUGCAGCGGUAAUUCCACAUCUUGUCAUAUCAGCUUGUAUUAAAUGUAUAAACAGAUGGUUGAUUUUGAACUUUCCCCUUUAUUGUUCUUUCAAGCUCAUUUGGUACAGUGCAUCGUGCUGAAUGGCAUGGAUCGGAAUAAAGGAAAAUAAAGUAUAACAAAACUUGUAACCUUUGCAAGCAAGCUUAUAUGAAGAACUAGACUACAAUGGGAGGUUUUUUGUGUCCCUUCUCUUUCUUUUCCAUCCUUAGAACCAUGCUUAGAGUGCUUUGAGGACAAAGUAAGCUGUUAAGUGGGGGGUAAGGUUGUAGCCUUGCAUG
Molecule: long non-coding RNA, 834 nt
Organism: Cucumis melo (muskmelon)
Lineage: Eukaryota; Viridiplantae; Streptophyta; Magnoliopsida; Cucurbitales; Cucurbitaceae
Exons: 5
Source: RefSeq, a predicted model, not a curated record